This 1176-nucleotide long non-coding RNA is filed under the name Mus musculus (house mouse). RNAcentral describes it as "predicted gene 14461". Lineage: Eukaryota; Metazoa; Chordata; Mammalia; Rodentia; Muridae. The record is from RNAcentral.
ACUCAAACCAGCUGUAUUAAGGAAGGUGCAAGCUUUUGGGAUUUCUGUUUGGAUUUAGUUUAGGUUCAAAAGAGCACGCACAGAUCCUGAGUGUUGUCAAGCACCCGUGACUGGGAAACGGAGGCGUCCGAUCCGUAUUGGAGUCAAUUCGCCACUUAAUUGAACACAGCCUCGAAGGGAAGGGCCAUAUUUGUGGGCCUGUCUAACAAUUAAGAGUGACCACAUGGAAUGGGGGAUGAAAGGGUUAAAGAAGAACAAAUAUUGAACACAGCUUUUCUAUGAACAAACUGCAGGCAGCUGCUGCUUUGCAAGGGAAGCAGUUGAUUGAGAAUAAUGGUUCUGUUUUGGAGGUUGAUGGAAGAUGCCCUUUGGCCAGGAAAACAGCUCAUGCUUUUAGAGGAGGAUAAUUGCCAGAAGGCCUCUCUGAAUAAAAAAAAAUCCUGACCUCACAGCCUUUGCGCUUACUUGGGUUAGAAUGCCACAGUGAACAUUGCCCCUUGUCAUCACGUAGAGGUGCUCACAGAAAAACCCUUUGAAAAGAUUCAGCACGUUGCCAUGGAGAACAUCCCACUGAAGGAAUGUAUAGAAGUAGCAGGGUUAACUGAGUGCCUUCCAUCUUCCCUCCAAGGGAUCUGCAAUGAGAUGGGAGAAGGCAACAGGCUGUGUGGGAACCACUGAAGCUGGGAUGGCAGGGAAAGAACAUCUUAGGCUAACUCUUCAAGCCUUGCUGUCACAUUUGCUUUUGAGUCUAUGGUGUCAGCUGCCUACCAGUUGCUUUCAUCUCUAGAAAUCUGUGACUUGCAGUAUGACAAGAACAAAAGGUGACAAUACAAAGGACAAAGGGCAAGGAAUACAGACGGAGAAGCCGCUUAGAGUCUAGGAUGGCAGAGGUUCUCUUGAUCAUUUCAUUUUUGAGCGCUUGUAGAGCUUUGGUGUACCAGAGGUGCUUGAACAGCUUACCACACCACAGAUGAAUGGCCUUUGGAUUUCUCCUAAGAAAAUGUGGCUACCUGAAAUUCAACUCCAUUUUCUGGUCUUCAAUAUUUCUUUUGUGUUCAGUUUGCCAGCUGAGGAGAAGUGGCUAAGCAUAGCCUGUUACUGAUGCUAAAGCCCAAGUUCUGAACCUAACAACUCCAGCAACAUGAUCCUGUUUCAAGAGACAAAAAAGUGACUAAU